GGAGAGGACGACGGCCGGAGGGGGGAGGAGGCGGCCGUAGCGCCAUUUUGUGGAAGCGAAGUGGGUAGCUAGGCUGCUCCUGGAUCCCUUGCUGCUUCAGCUUCCCCGUCGGACUUCCUAGCAGCGGCCUAGCGGAAAAUUACGAUGUCUGAAUAUAUUCGGGUAACCGAAGAUGAGAAUGAUGAGCCUAUUGAAAUACCGUCAGAAGACGAUGGGACAGUGCUGCUGUCCACAGUUACAGCCCAGUUUCCAGGGGCAUGUGGGCUGCGCUACAGGAACCCAGUGUCUCAGUGUAUGAGAGGUGUCCGUCUGGUAGAAGGAAUUCUUCAUGCCCCCGAUGCUGGCUGGGGAAAUCUGGUAUAUGUUGUCAACUAUCCCAAAGAUAACAAAAGAAAAAUGGAUGAGACAGAUGCUUCAUCAGCAGUGAAAGUGAAAAGAGCGGUCCAGAAAACAUCUGACUUAAUAGUGUUGGGUCUCCCUUGGAAAACGACUGAACAGGAUCUAAAAGAAUAUUUUAGUACCUUUGGAGAAGUUCUUAUGGUUCAGGUCAAGAAAGAUAUUAAAACUGGUCAUUCAAAAGGGUUUGGCUUUGUUCGUUUUACGGAGUAUGAAACCCAGGUGAAAGUAAUGUCACAGCGACAUAUGAUAGAUGGACGGUGGUGUGAUUGUAAACUCCCAAACUCUAAGCAAAGCCCAGAUGAGCCUUUGAGAAGCAGAAAGGUGUUUGUUGGGCGUUGCACAGAGGACAUGACUGCUGACGAGUUACGGCAGUUCUUCUGCCAGUACGGAGAAGUGGUGGAUGUCUUCAUUCCCAAACCAUUUAGGGCAUUUGCCUUUGUUACGUUUGCAGAUGAUCAGGUUGCCCAGUCUCUUUGUGGAGAGGACUUGAUCAUUAAAGGAAUCAGCGUACAUAUAUCCAAUGCUGAACCUAAGCACAAUAGCAAUAGACAGUUAGAAAGAAGUGGAAGAUUUGGUGGUAAUCCAGGUGGCUUUGGGAAUCAGGGUGGAUUUGGUAACAGUAGAGGGGGUGGAGCUGGUUUGGGAAACAAUCAAGGUAGUAAUAUGGGCGGAGGGAUGAACUUUGGUGCUUUUAGCAUUAAUCCAGCAAUGAUGGCUGCAGCCCAGGCAGCUCUGCAGAGCAGUUGGGGUAUGAUGGGCAUGUUAGCCAGUCAGCAGAAUCAGUCAGGCCCAUCAGGUAAUAACCAAAGCCAAGGCAACAUGCAGAGGGAGCCAAAUCAGGCCUUUGGUUCCGGAAAUAACUCUUAUAGUGGUUCUAAUUCAGGUGCAGCAAUUGGUUGGGGAUCAGCAUCAAAUGCAGGGUCAGGCAGUGGUUUUAAUGGAGGCUUUGGCUCAAGCAUGGAUUCUAAAUCUUCUGGCUGGGGAAUGUAGACCUUGGGUUAUAGCUGGUCAGUAUAGACUGGUGGGAAUUCAAAUUUUUCUAAACUCAUGGUAAGUAUAUUGUAAAAUACGUAUGUACUAAGAAUUUUCAAAAUCGGUUUGUUCAGUGUGGAGUAUAUUCAGCAGUAUUUUUGACAUUUUUCUUUAGAAAAAGAGGAAGAGCUAAAGGAAUUUUAUAAGUUUUGUUACAUAAAGGGUUGAAAUAUUGAGUGUUUGAAAGUGAACUGCUCUUUGCCUGAUUGGUAAAUCAACACACUACAAUUUAUCAAAAGGUUUCUCCUGUAAUAUUUUAUCCCUGGACUUGUCAAGUGAAUUCUUUGCAUGUUCAAAAUGGAAACCAUUGAUUAGAACUACAUCCUUUUCUCCUUGUUUUUAAUUUGAACCCCACCAUAUGGAUUUUUUUCCUUAGGAAAAUCUCCUUUUUGGAGAUCGUGGUGUCACAGUGUUUGGUUCUUUUGUUUUUGUUUUUGUUUUUUAACACUUGUCUCCCUUCAUAUACAAAAGUACAAUAUGAAGCCUUCAUUUAAUCUCUGCAGUUCAUCUCAUUUCAAAUGUUUAUGGAAGAAGCACUUCAUUGAAAGUAGUGCUGUAAAUACUCUGCCAUAGGAAUACUUCUGUCUACAUGCUUUCUCAUUCAAGAAUUCGUCAUCACACUGCACAGGCUGCGUCUUUGACGCCCUGAAUGCAAAGAAUUCAUAGCAGUUAAUUCCCCUUUUUUGACCCUUUUGAGAUGGAACUUUCAUAAAGUUUCUUGGCAAUAGUUUAUUUUGCUUCAAAUAAACUUAUUUGAAAAGUUGUCUCAAGUCAAAUGGAUUCAUCACCUGUCAUGCAUUGACACCUGAUACCCAGACUUAAUUGCUAUUUGUUCUUGCAUUGUCCAAAGUGAAAAGUUUUUUUUUUUUUUAAUCUAGUUUUUAAUAAGUCUGGGUGACCGCACCUAAAAUGCACUUGCACUGUUACUCAGCAGCAGUAACAUGGUAACACUUAAAAUGGUAUUCGGGGACCUCCAAAGACUAAACUGACAAGCCUUCAAGGAGCCCAGGGGUAAGUUAACUUGUCAAUGGCAUGGUUUUAAUCCCUUAUUUACACUUGUAUAAAUCUAGUUACCAGUCUUAGAAGGCGUUCAGUGUUGAGUAGCCUUCUGUUUAACAUGUUUGUGGUAAUACAUAGCUAUGGGUAUUUAAUUCUACCCUUAAAAAAAAUUGAAGUUUAGAAGUAAACUAUUUGGCAAAGAUUUGUUUUUAAAGUAUUUGGUCAUCUAAAUGCAUUCAUCUAAAAACUUUUGAACCAGUUGAAUAAAAAUUUUUGUUGUCACCACAGUUUAGUGUCUGGAGUCUUACUGGAAAAACAAGUUUUUUUGUUUUUGUUUUUUUAUGUGUGACAAAGAUGCUGGAAAGUUUCCUUUAAAAAGUGAGUCUCAAGAAGUUGCACUUUAUAUGCACGAGUUAGUCAAAACUCAGUGAAUUUUUACGUAUAAUGGUAACUGGCCAGAAUGAAAAAUUUUGUUAAAUGCUAGCUAUUAAACCUUUUUAGGGAGGAGUGGCCAACUAAAAUGAAAUGAGAUUUUUAAGGUUAAGUGUGAGCUUAAAUUUUGGCGUUAGGAAAAAGAUGUUAAGUACUUAGUAAUUCAGAAGAUAUAUGUGAUAAUUAGAAUAAUUUUUUUGUUGAAUAUUAGAGUAACUCUUAAUUGUGUAUUUGAGUUCUGUAUUCAGCUAUUGUAUGAUCUGUAAUCUGUUGUUUGAUUAAAUGUGCCCACAUACUUCAUGUUCAUUGUAAGAAGGAAAACACUGCAGAUUUAUCUAUAAUACCACCACUUAUUUUUAAUGUUGUAUUUCAUCUUUUGGAAAUGCCACAUUUGAUUCAACUGUCUUCUGAAUCUGAACAUCAUUUAGGUUAUCUCUAAGUGCUAAGAACAUCCUUACAGUUAAAUUAAAAUCAUAGCAUUGGAAUUACCAGGUCAAAGACUAUGCAUACUUUUAAGACUGUUGAAAUAUAUUGCCAAAUUGUCCUUUAGAAAAUUUGUUGUCUUUGACAAUGUGAAAUAGUGCUGUUCCAUGUUCUUUUUGUCUUGUCAGUUUGAUAAGUGAAAAAUUAUAUCUCACCAUUUUGUGGUAUUGGUUUUAACAUGGAAAUCAGUCAGUAUCUAGGCUAUAAAGUAUUGAUAUUUCCAAUUUAUCUAUCAAAAAUCCCUAUGAUUCAAGGUAAUUCCUGAACCACUACUGCUAUAAUAUAUAAUGCUCUCAGAGAUCAGUAAGAAAGAACAACUUUGUAAGUCAAUGCAGAUUUAAUCAGUGAGUUUCUAUUGGAUUGGCAAAGACGAAAAUUGCUACAAUGGUUUAUGUUCCCUUGAAUCAGAGAGUAAGUGGUGGAAAACUGGCAAGUGGAGACCACGUGCUUGAAAGGCAAUCUCCCCUGUCGUUUGGUUUGGUUUGGGGGUGAAACGGCAGCUGUGAUGUAAAUGUUUCUUAGGUCAAUUUGCUAAGAUCUUUGCUAAGGUAUUUUUAAAGAUAGGGAAUCAUUUACUGAUGGAAAACAUACAAAUUAAAAAUUAUUAAUUAUGUUCUUGAUCCAGGGAAUGUAGUUAAUGACUUUUGUGUAGACCCCAUACUGAUCUGCUUCCCCACAAUGAAUGGAACCCCAAGACACUAUUCCUCCCACGAACCACCUCUGUGUCUCAUUAUCGAGAAACACUAGUGCCCCUCCACUGUCACCUUUACAGCUAUCCUUGCCCCCCGCUUCUAAACCAGCACAAAGCAUGUUACCAGUUACCUUUCCCCCUGGAUAGGACUUCUUUUCAUACGCAGCGGUACAUUUUUGAUGGUCAACAAUUGGUAUGUCAACAAACAUUAGAUUUCUGGCGAGAAAACCCCUUUGGGUUAAUCCCCAUCCAGAUACAGUUCCAGUGUCAUUUGUCCUCAUGAAGGAUUCAGCUUCUUUUCUUGGCAAACAGAUAGGCAUGAUGUUGCUAUUGAUUACAACCCUGUUCUUCAAUUUAAUCAAUGCUAUGUCGUUAUCAUAACCAGCAUUGUGAGUGUAACCUUCAUGUAUAAAAAUGGCCUCGGCCCAGGCUUGUGUAUAAUGAGUUGACAGUCUCUUCAGGGCAGCCAUUCUAAUGUCCAGGGAGGAGGCAUCUUCUUUUUGCCCAUAUACAUUGUGAGCAGCUGUUAGGAUCCAGUUGUCAUAUAGAAGUGCACCUGCUGCUAUGGUUUCACCUAAUAAUAGGACUUGCCAAGGAAAAUCACCAAGCUUUGCAGGUUGUCCUCCGUAUAUACGGCCUCCCGUGGUACGGGUUGAUAUUCCACAAACUGGGGAAAAAAGCAGAUGUAUAGAACCUUUAUAGAAACCUAGUGGGUGUUUUUCUCCAGUUAUUACCUCUUUGGAGUUUUGUAUAUUUAACGUUGACCAAAAACUGCAUCACAUGAAUUGGUGGGUGUCCACCUAUACAGGCAAGUGAGGCUGCUUAGAACACUGUUAAAAGACCUGAUAAAAAACUGUUUGGUAUGUCGCAACCCCUCAGAAAAUGAGGUGAGUGAAAAUUAACUUUUAGAAAUAAAUUUGUUUUGUUAAAAUAAUUUGGUCUCACAAUUGGGAAAAUUAUUUAAUAGGGCAAACAGGAAUUGUCUGAGCUGAUGUGCAUAGGAAAUGAAAGGAAAUAAGCUUUUCAUUGCUUGUUUUCCUACUUGUAAAGUAGGGGUAUUUACCACGUUCUAGGAAAGGGGAAACUAGGGUCACUGUCAGGGUUCGCAAAAUUACUUUCCCCUUUGAACGUUUGAAUUUUUUUUUAAUUUUACUUUUGGUGGGGGAGGUAAUUUGGUUUAUUUUUAGGGGAGGUACUAGGGAUUGAACCCAGGACCUUGUGCAUGCUAAGCAUGCACUCUACCACUUGAACUAUACCCUCCUCCAGAAAUGUUUUAAAAAUUAGAAUGUUGCAGUUGUAGCCAGGAACCUUCAGGUUCAGAAAUUAUUUUUGGUCUAGUUGAUUCCUAAACACUAGCCUUUACUACAUAUAUAUAUUGCUAACUAAAUACUUAUGUAAUUAAUGUAGCAAAUGUUUCCUGCUGUGGCAGAAUACUGUUACUAAAACUUGGAAACAUUGUGUCAGCUAAGAGGGUUUUUGGGGGGUUUUUUUGUUUGUUUUAAAACUAAGCCAAAUAACAUAGGGGUAAUAAAUAUAUUAUUUUGUGAUUUUUUAAAAUCACUCAACUAUAUCUUCAGAGCCAAUUCUGGUAAAACAUUUUUUAAAGUACCAUUAAAAGGCAAAUUGCAUUAAUGUUUAAAAACUAGAUGUCAUUGAAAACAAUUACUUAGGGAAAUAAUGAAGUUAUUGGCUUUGGGUUUUAAUAGCAUUUUUACAGAGAAGUAGCAGAAUUCCUGUUUAUAAAUGUAUAAAUGGUUCAAGAUAACUUUUUAAAUUGUUUAAAUUUUUAUGCUUGCCUAGUAAGGUCAGAAAUAAUCAAAUGACUGAUGCAGUCAGCACCUAACAACCUCUCCGUAUGGAAAAGGGGAUAAUGAGAACGUAUUACUUAGAAAUAAUAAUAAGUUGGUCUAAGCCAAGUGCUGAAGUUACAUUUCUGCCUACACAGCUAAAGCUCUACUUACUGUCUCCUACCCAGUUCUACUUCCCAUCAAUUACGAAUCUCUUGUAUAAAUGUAUCCAUUACCAGGCUCACAGACUGGGAGUGAUUUUUCUCCUUUGGAGCUCGUCCAGAAUCCAUCAGCCUCACACACAUAUUUACCUGCAAAUCAUUGAAAAAGCAAAAAUGUUUAACUGCAUGUAAAAGGUGGUUGUCAUUUGCUUGAAUACCCCCUUGAAAAAUGUUGAUUCUUGAGCAUCAGUGGGAAAUAGAGGUGUCUGAAUAACCAUUUUACAUGAUUUCAUAAGUAGGAGGUCUCUGCAUUACCAUGUUUGCUUGCAAAGUGGAAACCUUUUAGAUGUGUAACUUGAAUAUGUAUCAAGAUCUCAAGUGCUUAAUGAUAAGGUUUUGACUUGUUAAAUUAAACCAUUUGGAAUAUA
This is an RNA transcript of Camelus dromedarius (Arabian camel), 6412 nucleotides long. It is a transcript of the gene named TAR DNA binding protein, with no coding region annotated. The transcript is spliced from 8 exons. NCBI's taxonomy places the organism in Eukaryota, Metazoa, Chordata, Mammalia, Artiodactyla, Camelidae. The record is from RefSeq and is a predicted model, not a curated record.